AGGAAACACCAGUGGCGAAGGCGGCUUUUUUGGUCUGUAACUGACGCUUAAGCGCGAAAGCGUGGGGAGCAAACAGGAUUAGAUACCCUGGUAGUCCACGCCGUAAACGAUGAGUGCUAAGUGUUAGAGGGUUUUCCCCCUUUAGUGCUGCAGCUAACGCAUUAAGCACUCCGCCUGGGGAGUACGGUCGCAAGACUGAAACUCAAAGGAAUUGACGGGGGCCCGCACAAGCGGUGGAGCAUGUGGUUUAAUUUCGAAGCAACGCGAAGAACCUUACCAGGUCUUGACAUCCUCUGACAACUCUAGAGAUAGAGCGUUCCCCUUCGGGGGACAGAGUGACAGGUGGUGCAUGGUUGUCGUCAGCUCGUGUCGUGAGAUGUUGGGUUAAGUCCCGCAACGAGCGCAACCCUUGAUCUUAGUUGCCAGCAUUUAGUUGGGCACUCUAAGGUGACUGCCGGUGACAAACCGGAGGAAGGUUGGGGAUGACGUCAAAUCAUCAUGCCCCUUAUGACCUGGGCUACACACGUGC
RNAcentral lists this ribosomal RNA (529 nucleotides) under Priestia megaterium. RNAcentral's name for it is "bacterial SSU rRNA". It matches the Rfam family "Bacterial small subunit ribosomal RNA", at positions 701 to 1225 of the family's 1533-position model. Lineage: Bacteria; Bacillati; Bacillota; Bacilli; Caryophanales; Bacillaceae. The record is from RNAcentral.